Long non-coding RNA from Anthonomus grandis grandis, 522 nucleotides. RefSeq lists it as uncharacterized. NCBI's taxonomy places the organism in Eukaryota, Metazoa, Arthropoda, Insecta, Coleoptera, Curculionidae. The record is from RefSeq and is a predicted model, not a curated record. The transcript has 2 exons.
UUUAAAACAAUUGCUGAUCUAGAAAUGUCAUAGCAACCAUUUUAUUUUGUAUUUUCGACACAACCUAAUAAGUAUCUUUUAAUUUUUAAACAUACAUAGAACUAGAACUUUUUAACUGACACUUGCAACAGCUGAAGAAACUUUACAAGAACAGCUUUCAGGAACCAGGAUCUCCUUCUCGACCAGUUUUUCAAAAGAGGUCCUCUGCACGUAGAAGAGCCUCAUGUUGUUUACCGUGUCGAGCUCCUGGUCGAGUAGGUCGUCUUCUAAGUAGGAAGACAAUUUGUCUUCCAACUCGUCCGCGCUGGCCAUCAUGUCCUCGAAGUAAUGGCCAGACGCGAGGCCGAAGACCCGCGUGACGGUGUUUUUGACCCACUCCCUCCGAAAGUCGGUCCCCAUUUUCACUUUUUGUAAUUUUCCAAAUUAAAAUGCCCGAAUGAACAGAUUAAAAAAGACCGUAUAAAAAAAGUUAUGAGUUGUUUUUGUGGUUUUUGCAAAAAAAAUAAAAAUAUUUUCGAUAUG